RNAcentral lists this ribosomal RNA (227 nucleotides) under uncultured bacterium. RNAcentral's name for it is "partial 16S ribosomal RNA". It matches the Rfam family "Bacterial small subunit ribosomal RNA", at positions 122 to 334 of the family's 1533-position model. The record is from RNAcentral.
CGAACCUUCCCAAUCGUGGGGGAUAACCUGCCGAAAGGCGGGCUAAGACCGCAUGUGAUCCCGUGACUCCGGUCGCGGGAUGAAAGCCGGCCUCUAUACAUAAGCCGGCGCGAUUGGCGGGGCCCGCGUCCCAUCAGCUAGUUGGCGAGGUAACGGCUCACCAAGGCGACGACGGGUAGCUGGUCUGAGAGGAUGGCCAGCCACACUGGAACUGAGACACGGUCCAG